CCUACGGGCGGCAGCAGUGAGGAAUAUUGGUCAAUGGACGCAAGUCUGAACCAGCCAUGCCGCGUGCAGGAAGAAGGCUCUAUGAGUUGUAAACAGCUUUUGUACGGGGGUAAAUCCCGAUACGUGUAUCGUGUUGAAAUUAUCGUGCGAAUAAGGAUCGGCUAACUCCGUGCCAGCAGCCGCGGUAAUACGGAGGAUUCAAGCGUUAUACGGAUUUAUUGGGUUUAACGAGUUCGUAGGCGGUAUGUUAAGUUUGGUGUGAAAUGCAGAGGCUCAACUUCUGAUCGGCAUUGGAUACUGGCCAGCUAGAAUGCGGUAGAGGGAAAGGGAAUUCCUGGUGUAGCGGUGAAAUGCUUAGAUAGCAGGAGGAACAUCGGUGGCGUAAGCGCUUUACUGGGCCGUAAGUGACGCUGAGGAACGAAAGCCAGGGUAGCAAAUGGGAUUAGAUACCCUAGUAGUC
RNAcentral lists this ribosomal RNA (460 nucleotides) under uncultured bacterium. Its description in RNAcentral is "partial 16S ribosomal RNA". It matches the Rfam family "Bacterial small subunit ribosomal RNA", at positions 338 to 795 of the family's 1533-position model. The record is from RNAcentral.